AACUUAUAACUAUCUUCCUUUCCUUUUCUUCUUCUUCCUCUUCUUCUACCUUCACCUCCAUUUUCAGUUUUUCACCUCCCUAUUUAUAUAAAAUGUCAGAAAACACCCUCAAAAACCAUUAACAAAAGGAUCUAAAUUUCACCUUCAUACCUAAAAAAUCAACCCAAUUACAACGGGUCUUCUCUCGCUAAUUACAUCCAUCCGAGCUUUUUCACUUCUCAAUAUCUCUCAAGACUUUCCCUUUCCAUUCCAUUCCCUUUGAUUAAAAGAUGAUUCUGCAAUCGCGGUUUUCUUGAUU
RNAcentral lists this long non-coding RNA (298 nucleotides) under Lactuca sativa (garden lettuce). RNAcentral describes it as "long non-coding RNA (LSAT_LNC009864)". The record is from RNAcentral. Lineage: Eukaryota; Viridiplantae; Streptophyta; Magnoliopsida; Asterales; Asteraceae.